This 214-nucleotide long non-coding RNA is filed under the name Elaeis guineensis (African oil palm). RNAcentral describes it as "long non-coding RNA (EGUI_LNC065034)". The record is from RNAcentral. Lineage: Eukaryota; Viridiplantae; Streptophyta; Magnoliopsida; Arecales; Arecaceae.
CUUCUAAUAAACUCCUGUGUUGUGGUGAAGUUCUUAGGUCUAUUUAGACUCGACAAAGGAGGAUUUGUCGUUUAGUCCUUAAACCUGUUCGCGACCAAAUGAUAUGUUGUUACCAAGGACAACAAUGUUUAUCGAGCAUAGGUCAUUGUGUGCCAUAUAGGUUGGUUGUCCUCUUAACCAAGGAGUAUGGAGACACUGGUAUGGCAUACAGGUG